This 71-nucleotide small RNA is filed under the name Roseibium suaedae. RNAcentral describes it as "Labrenzia sp. YC6927 Makes More Granules Regulator RNA (mmgR)". It matches the Rfam family "Makes More Granules Regulator RNA (mmgR)". Rfam says of the family: SuhB later renamed mmgR (makes more granules regulator) was a putative non-coding RNA found multiple times in the Agrobacterium tumefaciens genome and related alpha-proteobacteria. Other non-coding RNAs uncovered in the same analysis include: speF, ybhL, metA, and serC. Several studies inSinorhizobium meliloti showed that suhB element is indeed a non-coding RNA:firstly it was detected on Northern blot and called Sm8RNA, secondly in an RNAseq study referred to as SmelC689. The record is from Rfam by way of RNAcentral. Lineage: Bacteria; Pseudomonadati; Pseudomonadota; Alphaproteobacteria; Hyphomicrobiales; Stappiaceae.
UAGCGCCGCCCUCCUUGGGCGUUUCCUCCCUAGACUCGGGCCGCAUUACGCGGCCCCUUUUUUUAUGUGCC